CCUAAGUCAUACUUUAACGACUGCUUUGAUAACAUUAUAAAGGUAUUACUCGGGAUCAAUGGACUUCCUUUGUGAACUACCGUUAUAAAGAAGAAACUCAGAACAUGUGUAAAAGAAAUGCUGAAAAUUGGAA
Non-coding RNA from Nicotiana tabacum (common tobacco), 133 nucleotides. NCBI's taxonomy places the organism in Eukaryota, Viridiplantae, Streptophyta, Magnoliopsida, Solanales, Solanaceae. The record is from RefSeq and is a predicted model, not a curated record.